UACGGAGGGGGUUAGCAUUGUUCGGAAUUACUGGGCGUAAAGCGCGCGUAGGCGGAUUAGAAAGUUGGGGGUGAAAUCCCGGGGCUCAACCUCGGAACUGCCUCCAAAACUGCUAGUCUAGAGUUCGAGAGAGGUGAGUGGAAUUCCGAGUGUAGAGGUGAAAUUCGUAGAUAUUCGGAGGAACACCAGAGGCGAAGGCGGCUCACUGGCUCGAUACUGACGCUGAGGUGCGAAAGUGUGGGGAGCAAACAGG
Molecule: ribosomal RNA, 253 nt
Filed under: uncultured bacterium
Lineage: Bacteria
Description: partial 16S ribosomal RNA
Rfam family: Bacterial small subunit ribosomal RNA
Source: RNAcentral